Long non-coding RNA from Brienomyrus brachyistius, 319 nucleotides. RefSeq lists it as uncharacterized. The record is from RefSeq and is a predicted model, not a curated record. NCBI's taxonomy places the organism in Eukaryota, Metazoa, Chordata, Actinopteri, Osteoglossiformes, Mormyridae. The transcript is spliced from 3 exons.
UGUUGACGUAUGUGGGAGUUGGAUGGAUACUGAUCUUCAUCUUCACUUUAAUUUGUACUUUGACUUGCCUUCCCUUCUCGCUUUUCACUUACAUAAGUGGAUAUAUGAAGGGUUUGAAGAAAUCUAAGCUUCAUCAGACUGCGAAGGAGGGACAGCAGCUUCCUGCUGGUGCUCAUGGGAACCAGGGGCAGGCCAGAAGUGAUGAACGACAGCUGCUCGACAUUUACACAGAGGUCAAAUACAGCCCACUGUGACCUCUGACCCCAGCCACACCUCCACAAAUCAUGUGAUCCAGAUAACCACACCCUCCCAGACUCAC